CAUCAAGCACUCACAGGAUGUCUAUGGC
Molecule: non-coding RNA, 28 nt
Filed under: Mus musculus (house mouse)
Lineage: Eukaryota; Metazoa; Chordata; Mammalia; Rodentia; Muridae
Source: RNAcentral